This 63-nucleotide transfer RNA is filed under the name Argulus japonicus. RNAcentral's name for it is "tRNA-Trp". Lineage: Eukaryota; Metazoa; Arthropoda; Ichthyostraca; Arguloida; Argulidae. The record is from RNAcentral.
AGAGUUUUAAGUUAAAAAAACUAUUAACCUUCAAAGUUAAAAAUAUUAAUUUAAUAAACUCUA